RNAcentral lists this ribosomal RNA (499 nucleotides) under uncultured bacterium. RNAcentral's name for it is "bacterial SSU rRNA". It matches the Rfam family "Bacterial small subunit ribosomal RNA", at positions 61 to 542 of the family's 1533-position model. The record is from RNAcentral.
GUCGCACGAGAAAGGGCUUCGGCCCCAGUAAAGUGGCGCACGGGUGAGUAACACGUAGGUAAUCUACCCUCGAGCAGGGGAUAACCCUCCGAAAGGAGAGCUAAUACCGCAUAAGACCACGGCUCACGAGAGUCGCGGCCAAAGCGGGCCUCUUCACGAAAGCUCGCACUUGAGGAUGAGCCUGCGGCCCAUCAGCUUGAUGGCGGUGUAAAAGACCACCAUGGCUAAGACGGGUAGCUGGUCUGAGAGGAUGAACAGCCACACUGGAACUGAGACACGGUCCAGACUCCUACGGGAGGCAGCAGUGGGGAAUCUUGCGCAAUGGGCGAAAGCCUGACGCAGCGACGCCGCGUGAGUGAUGAAGGCCCUCGGGUUGUAAAGCUCUGUGGGGAGGAAAGAAUAAGGACGGGUUAAUACCCCGUCUGAUGACGGUACCUCCUUAGCAAGCACCGGCUAACUCUGUGCCAGCAGCCGCGGUAAGACAGAGGGUGCAAACGUU